AUGGCCUCCAGGCUGACCCCGACCUCUGACACUUUGGCUGAACUUCUUCAGGAACCACUGGGCUGGCAGAGGCCGGUGUUGGGGCUGGCAGAGGCCGGUGUUGGGGCUGGCAGAGGCCAGUGUUGGGGAUGGCCUGUGUUGGGGCCUGCAGGGGCUGGCAGAGGCCGGUGUUGGGGCCUGCAGGGGCUGGCAGAGGCUAGUGUUGGGACCAGCAGAGGCCGGUGUUGGGGCCGGCAGAGGCCGGUGUUGGGACCAGCAGAGGCCGGUGUUGGGGCCGGCAGAGGCCGGAGUUGGGGCCGGCAGAGGCCGGUGUUGGGGCCAGCAGAGGCCGGUGUUGGGGCCGGCAGAGGCCGGUGUUGGGACCAGCAGAGGCCGGGGCCGCACAAGCUAGCGCUGGAGGCCAGCCUUCUGAGGCUGGAGAGUGGGAGGGAAUCACCAGGAUCAGUCAUGGCACACACAGACAGACGGGAGACAGUGAGGGAUCGAGGAAGGCUCGGGGCCCUGCCCGGGGUGUCAGGAGCCUGACAGGGUGCCACCAGGCCGGGAAUGGGUGGCCUUUGGGGCCCAGACCUUCUGCCUCUCCACUCUGGAGCUGGCCUGGGUCAGGGGAUGAGCCCCGCUCCCACCCCCGCCCAGGGGUCUUCUAGGGAGAUGACGGCACCCACGGGAAGGAAGAGGACACCCAUCAAGUCCCAGGACUGCCUUUUCCAUGAACACAAGGGAGCAGGACAGGACAAGGCCCCCCCUCUCCUCCUCCUCCCCUCCCCCCUCCCCCCUCCCCCCCAAUUAAAGCCCGCCCCAGGGCGGAGGCAUUUCCAAGGGCGCCGCGUGUUCGAAGUGGCUACUUUGUUUUCACGGCUGACGUAAAGGGAUUCCUCACAGUUUCGAACGAAGCACGCGCGCACACGCGCACGCACACGCGCGGAGCCUCGUCUGGUGUGCCGGGGGAGGACGGGAGGGUCGAGUCCCAGCGGCGGCGCAAACAGUGCACGAGAGGGCUAAGAGGACAGACAGGGAUUGCACAUAGAUCCGUGGGCGCGGGCAGCGCCUGCGGGACUGGUAACACUGAGGGGGCGCUGGGGGGGCCGGGCCGGCGGGCCUCCCC
This 1105-nucleotide long non-coding RNA is filed under the name Monodelphis domestica (gray short-tailed opossum). RNAcentral's name for it is "lncRNA (ENSMODG00000048636.1)". The record is from RNAcentral. Lineage: Eukaryota; Metazoa; Chordata; Mammalia; Didelphimorphia; Didelphidae.